RNAcentral lists this ribosomal RNA (253 nucleotides) under uncultured bacterium. RNAcentral describes it as "partial 16S ribosomal RNA". It matches the Rfam family "Bacterial small subunit ribosomal RNA", at positions 524 to 776 of the family's 1533-position model. The record is from RNAcentral.
UACGAAGGGGGCUAGCGUUGCUCGGAAUCACUGGGCGUAAAGCGCACGUAGGCGGAUUGUUAAGUCAGGGGUGAAAUCCUGGAGCUCAACUCCAGAACUGCCUUUGAUACUGGCGAUCUUGAGUCCGGGAGAGGUGAGUGGAACUGCGAGUGUAGAGGUGAAAUUCGUAGAUAUUCGGAGGAACACCAGUGGCGAAGGCGACACGCUGGGCCGUACCUGACACUGAUGCGCGACAGCAUGGGGAGCAAACAGG